CGUCUUUGAAAGGAUAACUGCGGAGAUCCCUGUGAGAGACGAGGCGAAAGAAAGUAGAGCUAAGAAGAGAGAGAGAGAGAGAGAGAGAGAGAGAGAGAGAGAGAGAGAGAGAGAGAGAGAGAGAGAGAGGUUCAGGAACGACUGCUAUUGGCAACCAGAGCCCAGAAGAACGCUCGAGUAUAUAUAGAGGCGGCUUCCAAGUCCAGGACAAGCAGAGUUCUGUGCCCUCGACAUCCCAAGAAGCAGCAGACGAUUCUCUCCUGAUUGUUCAUCAUGAAAUCGGUCGCCUUCGCCCUCCUGCUCCUGGUGGCUAUCUUCGCCUUCAUGGAAGUGGCUCAAGCCAUGCCGGAGCCAGAGCCAGUGCCAGUGCCAGAUCCUCACCGAGGCUUUUAUGGAUACCGCCCCUGGGGCUUUGGGGGUUACGGAUACAGGCCCUGGGGCGGAUACUGGGGCUGAUCCACUUGCCUGACGAAGGUCACGGAAGCUGCCCUGACGAUCGUAAGUUCCUCCCUCUAGAGAAAUCAAUCGGUUUUUGGAAACUUCAACAAACAAAGUCUUUUCUCGAUUACAAAACAUUGUUAUGUCUCUCUUCUCUUCCAAAUAAACGCUCAUGUUUCUCAUAAA
Long non-coding RNA from Macrobrachium nipponense, 624 nucleotides. RefSeq lists it as uncharacterized. The transcript is spliced from 2 exons. The record is from RefSeq and is a predicted model, not a curated record. Lineage: Eukaryota; Metazoa; Arthropoda; Malacostraca; Decapoda; Palaemonidae.